UCCUUGGUGGUUCAGAUGGUAAAGCAUCUGCCUACAAUGCAGGAGACCUGGGUUCGAUCCCUGGGUUGGGAA
RNAcentral lists this transfer RNA (72 nucleotides) under Bos taurus (domestic cattle). It matches the Rfam family "tRNA". Rfam says of the family: Transfer RNA (tRNA) molecules are approximately 80 nucleotides in length. The record is from Rfam by way of RNAcentral. RNAcentral also lists the same sequence under 5 other names. Lineage: Eukaryota; Metazoa; Chordata; Mammalia; Artiodactyla; Bovidae.